GAUGAACGCUGGCGGCGUGCCUAACACAUGCAAGUCGAGCGAAGCACUUUGCUUGGAUUCUUCGGAUGAAGAGGAUUGUGACUGAGCGGGCGACGGGUGAAGGUAACGCGUGGGUAACCUGCCUUUCAGAGGGGGACAACAGCUGGAAACGGCUGCUAAUACCGCAUGACGCAUGACUGGGGCAUCCCGGACAUGCCAAAGAUUUUUAUCGCUGAAAGAUGGCCUCGCGUCUGAUUAGCUAGUUGGCGGGGUAACGGCCCACCAAGGCGACGAUCAGUAGCCGGACUGAGAGGUUGAACGGCCACAUUGGGACUGAGAUACGGCCCAG
Molecule: ribosomal RNA, 328 nt
Filed under: uncultured bacterium
Lineage: Bacteria
Description: bacterial SSU rRNA
Rfam family: Bacterial small subunit ribosomal RNA
Source: RNAcentral